GGCCUAACACAUGCAAGUCGAGCGGCAGCGGGGGGAAGCUUGCUUCCCCGCCGGCGAGCGGCGGACGGGUGAGUAAUGUCUGGGGAUCUGCCUGAUGGAGGGGGAUAACUACUGGAAACGGUAGCUAAUACCGCAUGACGUCGCGAGACCAAAGUGGGGGACCUUCGGGCCUCACGCCAUCGGAUGAACCCAGAUGGGAUUAGCUGGUAGGUGGGGUAACGGCUCACCUAGGCGACGAUCCCUAGCUGGUCUGAGAGGAUGACCAGCCACACUGGAACUGAGACACGGUCCAGACUCCUACGGGAGGCAGCAGUGGGGAAUAUUGCACAAUGGGCGCAAGCCUGAUGCAGCCAUGCCGCGUGUGUGAAGAAGGCCUUCGGGUUGUAAAGCACUUUCAGCGGGGAGGAAGGGAGCAGGGUUAAUAACCUUGUUCAUUGACGUUACCCGCAGAAGAAGCACCGGCUAACUCCGUGCCAGCAGCCGCGGUAAUACGGAGGGUGCAAGCGUUAAUCGGAAUGACUGGGCGUAAAGCGCACGCAGACGAUCUGUUAAGUUGGAUGUGAAAUCCCCGGGCUUAACCUGGGAACUGCAUUCAAAACUGACAGGCUAGAGUCUCGUAGAGGGGGGUAGAAUUCCAGGUGUAGCGGUGAAAUGCGUAGAGAUCUGGAGGAAUACCGGUGGCGAAGGCGGCCCCCUGGACGAAGACUGACGCUCAGGUGCGAAAGCGUGGGGAGCAAACAGGAUUAGAUACCCUGGUAGUCCACGCUGUAAACGAUGUCGAUUUGGAGGUUGUGCCCUUGAGGCGUGGCUUCCGGAGCUAACGCGUUAAAUCGACCGCCUGGGGAGUACGGCCGCAAGGUUAAAACUCAAAUGAAUUGACGGGGGCCCGCACAAGCGGUGGAGCAUGUGGUUUAAUUCGAUGCAACGCGAAGAACCUUACCUACUCUUGACAUCCAGAGAAGACUGCAGAGAUGCGGUUGUGCCUUCGGGAGCUCUGAGACAGGUGCUGCAUGGCUGUCGUCAGCUCGUGUUGUGAAAUGUUGGGUUAAGUCCCGCAACGAGCGCAACCCUUAUCCUCUGUUGCCAGCACGUUAUGGUGGGAACUCAGGGGAGACUGCCGGUGAUAAACCGGAGGAAGGUAGGGAUGACGUCAAGUCAUCAUGGCCCUUACGAGUAGGGCUACACACGUGCUACAAUGGCGCAUACAAAGAGAAGCGACCUCGCGAGAGCAAGCGGACCUCAUAAAGUGCGUCGUAGUCCGGAUUGGAGUCUGCAACUCGACUCCAUGAAGUCGGAAUCGCUAGUAAUCGUAGAUCAGAAUGCUACGGUGAAUACGUUCCCGGGCCUUGUACACACCGCCC
This 1361-nucleotide ribosomal RNA is filed under the name Dickeya dianthicola. RNAcentral describes it as "bacterial SSU rRNA". It matches the Rfam family "Bacterial small subunit ribosomal RNA", at positions 45 to 1395 of the family's 1533-position model. The record is from RNAcentral. Lineage: Bacteria; Pseudomonadati; Pseudomonadota; Gammaproteobacteria; Enterobacterales; Pectobacteriaceae.